This 410-nucleotide ribosomal RNA is filed under the name Serendipita sp. RNAcentral's name for it is "partial large subunit ribosomal RNA". It matches the Rfam family "Eukaryotic large subunit ribosomal RNA", at positions 22 to 427 of the family's 3401-position model. The record is from RNAcentral. Lineage: Eukaryota; Fungi; Basidiomycota; Agaricomycetes; Sebacinales; Serendipitaceae.
UACCCGCUGAAAUUAAGCAUAUCAAUAAGCGGAGGAAAAGAAACUAACAAGGAUUCCCCUAGUAACGGCGAGUGAAGAGGGAAAAGCUCAAAUUUUGAAUCUGGUGUCUUUGACUCCCGAGUUGUAAUCUAGAGAAGUGUUUUCCGUGUCGGACCAUGCACAAGUUCCCUGGAACGGGGCGUCAUAGAGGGUGAGAAUCCCGUAUAUGGCAUGGACUGCCGAUGCUCUGUGAUACACUCUCAACGAGUCGAGUUGUUUGGGAAUGCAGCUCAAAAUGGGUGGUAAAUUCCAUCUAAAGCUAAAUAUUGGCGAGAGACCGAUAGCGAACAAGUACCGUGAGGGAAAGAUGAAAAGCACUUUGGAAAGAGAGUGAAACAGUACGUGAAAUUGUUGAAAGGGAAAACGCUUGA